GGCCUCGUAGCUCAGCUGGUAGAGCAUGCGCGUACAAAGCGUAGGCGUCGUCCAUCAGUGGGUUUGAAUCCCACCGAGGCUA
Non-coding RNA from Echinostoma caproni, 82 nucleotides. The record is from Rfam. NCBI's taxonomy places the organism in Eukaryota, Metazoa, Platyhelminthes, Trematoda, Plagiorchiida, Echinostomatidae.